Non-coding RNA from Schizosaccharomyces pombe (fission yeast), 299 nucleotides. Lineage: Eukaryota; Fungi; Ascomycota; Schizosaccharomycetes; Schizosaccharomycetales; Schizosaccharomycetaceae. The record is from the annotation of a GenBank genome assembly.
UUUGGUUCUGGAAUGAUUUCGUAAGCCUUGAAUCCACUGGGAAGAGAUUGAGUAAAAGUCGUCAUGUGCAAGAGCUCUGAAGAUACCAAUUGUUUACUGGUAAGGCAUGCAAAGGUGGGAAUCAGCAAGAGCACAAAUUGAGAAUACUCGAACGGAAAUCUCGCCCGAGCAAAAUUGAGUAAACGAGUUACACUGUCAUUAUUUUCAAAAAGUUGGUAAACCUGAGGUGUCUUAAAGAGAGUAGUAGCGCAAAGCAUUGUUGAAUCUGAAAACUUAACAUAGGAUACUGCACUAGAAAA